RNAcentral lists this transfer RNA (83 nucleotides) under Deltaproteobacteria bacterium. RNAcentral's name for it is "tRNA-Leu". It matches the Rfam family "tRNA". From Rfam's summary of the family: Transfer RNA (tRNA) molecules are approximately 80 nucleotides in length. Their secondary structure includes four short double-helical elements and three loops (D, anti-codon, and T loops). The record is from RNAcentral. Lineage: Bacteria; Pseudomonadati; Myxococcota; Myxococcia.
GCCGAAGUGGUGGAAUUUGGUAGACACGCUAUCUUGAGGGGGUAGUGGAGAGAUCCGUGCCGGUUCAAGUCCGGCCUUCGGCA